AAAAAAAGACGUGAUUACAACAGUACAAGAAAUAUGGGUUAGAGAAAGAACCAAACUAGUGAUCAGGUGGCCCAAAGAUUUCAAUUCAGCAAUCUGCGAAAGAGUUUAUGAGAAAAACAAUUUUGUUGAUUGUGAUCACAGACCUGGAGUUGCUGUGGCUAUAUCGAGUAACCAAGAAAACCUGCUUGAACUCAGACAACAGCUCAUUCUUGAUAAAUCUUCAGCAAAGAAGAAUACAAAUGAGCUACGUGGCACAAAACAGAAGGCAAGAAGGAGUCUUGUGUAUCCUGAAGGCGACACAACACAGGGAGCAUCAUUUUCAGCAGU
Daphnia pulex (common water flea) is the source of this 327-nucleotide long non-coding RNA. RefSeq lists it as uncharacterized. The record is from RefSeq and is a predicted model, not a curated record. NCBI's taxonomy places the organism in Eukaryota, Metazoa, Arthropoda, Branchiopoda, Diplostraca, Daphniidae. The transcript is spliced from 3 exons.